RNAcentral lists this long non-coding RNA (782 nucleotides) under Chrysemys picta bellii (western painted turtle). RNAcentral describes it as "lncRNA (ENSCPBG00000028188.1)". Lineage: Eukaryota; Metazoa; Chordata; Testudines; Emydidae. The record is from RNAcentral.
CGCCCCUCGCUGCUCCAGUCCCCUCCUCACCUGGGGCCAGGGGCUGUGCGGCAGGGCAGUGCCAGGCAGCACGGCGCUGAAUGGGCCAGUGCCUGGCAGGCCAGGCCUUGUCUCACUGCACUGCCUGGCGUGGCGCUGGCCUGGCUCUGGAGCCGGGGGACAGAGGCAGGGCUGGUGCAAGUCACUUACUGGCAGUUGUCCAGCCACCCGAGGGGUGAAAAGGUCAGCGGCAGCUCCCCUUCCGGCUGGGAGUCACACAUGCCCACAGGCUGCAGCGUCACCGGGCUGGAGAGGUCAGCUCCCAUGGAGAACAUGGCUCGGCUCUGCCAGCAGUAUGGGAUCCCCCUCUGGGUGGCACCUGUCCUGGAGCAAGCAGCAACAAUGAAGUGUGAUAAGAGCAGGAGGCACAAGGCAUACAGACUCAUCCGCAGGCGGCUGUGGGAAGGAAGAAUAGGCCUGGAGAAAACAAAGUAUCCAACUUACAUUUACCCAAAGGAGCUGAAGAAUUUAAUGAGAUCUGCCUUCCCAGCAGGGGUCUGCGACUAUCCCGACCCCGACCACAGCAAGGUGGUACAUGUGACCCUCGAAGACCUGCACCUGCUCGACCACCCCAAGGCAGGGAGUGCGCAGCCCUGUCUGCAAUAGAACCUCCUCAGGCAGGAGAGCAUUUACCGGAACAGGAUGGAAUGAGGCAGCGGCGAGAGACACAGUUAAUCUCAUCCUGCCCGGGAGUGACAUACAUAGAGCUCCAGCUAUGCCCCUCUCCCAAAACAGUCCUCCCA